AGUGAACGCUGGCGGUAGGCCUAACACAUGCAAGUCGAACGGCAGCACAGUAAGAGCUUGCUCUUACGGGUGGCGAGUAGCGGACGGGUGAGGAAUACAUCGGAAUCUACUUUUUCGUGGGGGAUAACGUAGGGAAACUUACGCUAAUACCGCAUACGACCUACGGGUGAAAGCAGGGGAUCUUCGGACCUUGCGCGAUUGAAUGAGCCGAUGUCGGAUUAGCUAGUUGGCGGGGUAAAGGCCCACCAAGGCGACGAUCCGUAGCUGGUCUGAGAGGAUGAUCAGCCACACUGGAACUGAGACACGGUCCAGACUCCGACGGGAGGCAGCAGUGGGGAAUAUUGGACAAUGGGCGCAAGCCUGAUCCAGCCAUACCGCGUGGGUGAAGAAGGCCUUCGGGUUGUAAAGCCCUUUUGUUGGGAAAGAAAAGCAGCAGGUUAAUACCCCGCUGUUCUGACGGUACCCAAAGAAUAAGCACCGGCUAACUUCGUG
This 492-nucleotide ribosomal RNA is filed under the name uncultured bacterium. Its description in RNAcentral is "partial 16S ribosomal RNA". It matches the Rfam family "Bacterial small subunit ribosomal RNA", at positions 29 to 507 of the family's 1533-position model. The record is from RNAcentral.